RNAcentral lists this long non-coding RNA (207 nucleotides) under Elaeis guineensis (African oil palm). RNAcentral describes it as "long non-coding RNA (EGUI_LNC012160)". Lineage: Eukaryota; Viridiplantae; Streptophyta; Magnoliopsida; Arecales; Arecaceae. The record is from RNAcentral.
ACAAUCAAGGCAAAGCCACAUCCAGUAGCAACGACUGCUUCAAUGGAAGAAACGAAAAGGAAUAAAAUCGGAAAAGACUCGGUCCCCUAUGAAAUCUAGCGGCCAGUGGCUAAAUCUGGUUGCCAAGGACUCCUAGAGUUCGGAACAAAGAGAUGAAGAAGGGUAAGGGUCAAUACCUCAACUCUAGUGAUAAAUCGAUAGUAACCC